GCCGAGCCCGUUAGCGUUGGCUUGUAACCCGAGCGGGGGCGAUCGGUUGUGGAAUGGCAUGUUGUGCUCGAGUAGGUUGGGUGCGGCCGCACAUUACUCGGCUCGCCCAUUCUAAGUCAGGCAGAUGUUCUAUGUGAUCUUGGCGAAGGCCUAAGUCUCAUAGGAUCCUAAAGCGGAGGGCACCGCGUCAGGCUGGCUUCACAGAGCAUCGACAACCUCCCGCUCUUGAUGGUAGAAGGAUAACAGGCCGUCGUACGUCGCACCCACCAUGCCUACCGAGCUGACACUGACCAAACCACCACCUUU
RNAcentral lists this signal recognition particle RNA (306 nucleotides) under Musa acuminata subsp. malaccensis (wild Malaysian banana). RNAcentral describes it as "Plant signal recognition particle RNA". It matches the Rfam family "Plant signal recognition particle RNA". Lineage: Eukaryota; Viridiplantae; Streptophyta; Magnoliopsida; Zingiberales; Musaceae. The record is from Rfam by way of RNAcentral.